ACGGGUGAGUGACGCGUGGGAAUCUACCCAUCUCUACGGAAUAACGCAUGGAAACGUGUGCUAAUACCGUAUACGUCCUUCGGGAGAAAGAUUUAUCGGAGAUGGAUGAGCCCGCGUUGGAUUAGCUAGUUGGUGGGGUAAAGGCCUACCAAGGCGACGAUCCAUAGCUGGUCUGAGAGGAUGAUCAGCCACACUGGGACUGAGACACGGCCCAGACUCCUACGGGAGGCAGCAGUGGGGAAUAUUGGACAAUGGGCGCAAGCCUGAUCCAGCCAUGCCGCGUGAGUGAUGAAGGCCCUAGGGUUGUAAAGCUCUUUCACCGGUGAAGAUAAUGACGGUAACCGGAGAAGAAGCCCCGGCUAACUUCGUGCCAGCAGCCGCGGUAAUACGAAGGGGGCUAGCGUUGUUCGGAUUUACUGGGCGUAAAGCGCACGUAGGCGGACUAUUAAGUCAGGGGUGAAAUCCCGGGGCUCAACCCCGGAACUGCCUUUGAUACUGGUAGUCUUGAGUUCGAGAGAGGUGAGUGGAAUUCCGAGUGUAGAGGUGAAAUUCGUAGA
Molecule: ribosomal RNA, 557 nt
Filed under: uncultured bacterium
Lineage: Bacteria
Description: bacterial SSU rRNA
Rfam family: Bacterial small subunit ribosomal RNA
Source: RNAcentral